GCGCUAAUGCGCGAAAGCGUGACGCAGCGACGCCGCGUGGGGAUGAAGGCCCUCGGGUUGUAAACCCCUUUCGGCAGGGACGAAGCGAAAGUGACGGUACCUGCAGAAGAAGUCCCGGCUAACUACGUGCCAGCAGCCGCGGUAACACGUAGGGGACGAGCGUUGUCCGGAUUCAUUGGGCGUAAAGCGCGCGUAGGCGGCUCGGAAAGUCGGUCGUGAAAGGCUGGGGGCUCAACCCCAGGACUGCGUCCGAUACUUCCGGGCUGGAGGUAGGUAGGGGAGAUCGGAAUUCCUGGUGUAGCGGUGAAAUGCGCAGAUAUCAGGAGGAACACCGGUGGCGAAGGCGGAUCUCUGGGCCUUACCUGACGCUGAGGCGCGAAAGCUAGGGGAGCGAACAGGAUUAGAUACCCUGGUAGUCCUAGCCGUAGACGUUGGGUGCUAGGUGUGGGCGGACAUCGACCCCGUCCGUGCCGAAGCUAACGCAUUAAGCACCCCGCCUGGGGAGUACGGCCGCAAGGCUA
Molecule: ribosomal RNA, 521 nt
Filed under: uncultured Actinomycetes bacterium
Lineage: Bacteria; Bacillati; Actinomycetota; Actinomycetes
Description: bacterial SSU rRNA
Rfam family: Bacterial small subunit ribosomal RNA
Source: RNAcentral